UACGUAGGGUGCGAGCGUUAAUCGGAAUUACUGGGCGUAAAGCGUGCGCAGGCGGUUCGUUGUGUCGGCGGUGAAAGCCCCGGGCUCAACCUGGGAAUGGCAUUCGGGACUGCAAGGCUGGAGUGCGGCAGAGGAGACUGGAAUUCCUGGUGUAGCAGUGAAAUGCGUAGAUAUCAGGAGGAAUACCGAUGGCGAAGGCAGGUCUCUGGGCUGACACUGACGCUCAUGCACGAAAGCGUGGGGAGCAAACAGG
This 253-nucleotide ribosomal RNA is filed under the name uncultured bacterium. RNAcentral's name for it is "partial 16S ribosomal RNA". It matches the Rfam family "Bacterial small subunit ribosomal RNA", at positions 524 to 776 of the family's 1533-position model. The record is from RNAcentral.